CUUGAUGAAUUAUAAGAGGUCCAGCCUGCCCAGUGACAUAGUUAAACGGCCGCGGUACCCUGACCGUGCGAAGGUAGCAUAAUCACUUGUUCUUUAAAUAAGGACUAGUAUCAACGGCAUCACGAGGGUUACACUGUCUCCUCCCUCCAAUCAGUGAAACUAAUCUCCCCGUGAAGAAGCGGGGAAUAAAGAUAUAAGACGAGAAGACCCCAUGGAGCUUUAAACCCAACAACAACCUCUAUGCACAAACUCCUAAUAACUACAAAGGUAAUGUCUGUUGGUUUUAGGUUGGGGUGACCGCGGAGUAAAAUUUAACCUCCACGACGAACGGGAUUAACCCCUUAUCCAAGAGUUACUACUCUAAGAAUCAACAAAUUGACGUAAGAUGAUCCGAUAAUUGAUCAACGAACCA
This 412-nucleotide ribosomal RNA is filed under the name Quasipaa verrucospinosa. RNAcentral describes it as "partial 16S ribosomal RNA". It matches the Rfam family "Bacterial large subunit ribosomal RNA", at positions 1834 to 2441 of the family's 2925-position model. The record is from RNAcentral. Lineage: Eukaryota; Metazoa; Chordata; Amphibia; Anura; Dicroglossidae.